This 71-nucleotide transfer RNA is filed under the name Heterocephalus glaber (naked mole-rat). It matches the Rfam family "tRNA". From Rfam's summary of the family: Transfer RNA (tRNA) molecules are approximately 80 nucleotides in length. Their secondary structure includes four short double-helical elements and three loops (D, anti-codon, and T loops). Further hydrogen bonds mediate the characteristic L-shaped molecular structure. tRNAs have two regions of fundamental functional importance: the anti-codon, which is responsible for specific mRNA codon recognition, and the 3' end, to which the tRNAs corresponding amino acid is attached (by aminoacyl-tRNA synthetases). tRNAs cope with the degeneracy of the genetic code in two manners: having more than one tRNA (with a specific anti-codon) for a particular amino acid; and 'wobble' base-pairing, i.e. permitting non-standard base-pairing at the 3rd anti-codon position. Lineage: Eukaryota; Metazoa; Chordata; Mammalia; Rodentia; Bathyergidae. The record is from Rfam by way of RNAcentral.
GCCGAUGUUGCUCAGUGGCAGAGCACAUGCCUAGCAUGCAUGAGGCCCUGGGUUUGAGCCCCAGCACUGCA